Molecule: non-coding RNA, 206 nt
Organism: Oryza glaberrima (African rice)
Lineage: Eukaryota; Viridiplantae; Streptophyta; Magnoliopsida; Poales; Poaceae
Source: Rfam
AAAAAUUAUGGUUUUACACUGUUUAUAUUCAACAUUUGACCGUCUGUCUUAUUUGAAAUUUUUUUAUGAUUAGUAUUUUUAUUGUUAUUAGAUGAUAAAACAUGAAUAGUAUUUUAUAUAUGACUAAUAUUUUUUUAUUUUUUCAUAAAUUUUUAAAUAAGACAGACAAUCAAAAUUGGACACGUAAACUCACAACUGCACUUAUA